RNAcentral lists this long non-coding RNA (1548 nucleotides) under Homo sapiens (human). Its description in RNAcentral is "non-protein coding lnc-LGSN-2:1". The record is from RNAcentral. Lineage: Eukaryota; Metazoa; Chordata; Mammalia; Primates; Hominidae.
GCCAAGUGUAGCUUGAGGGGGAUGCAGAGCCUGCUAAUCUAUAAGGUGCUCCUUGAGGGUCUAGCCCUCACCAGCCACUCAGAUCACCUGCAGCAGCACCUGCCUAUCACUCAGCACUUUGAACAGAACCAGCCCCUCCACCCCAGCAAGAGACUCCAGCUGGAAGAGAAAACUUCUAAGCCCCCAAGGGAGGGAACACCUCCUCUGAGCCCUAAGGAUGAGGGGAGCCUAUGGCAAAAGAAGCUAUAGGCAGCAGCAUCUUGAGGUCUAGAGAAUAACUGGAUUUGUUGAGUGAGAUUCUGGACAGUCUGAGUGUUGGAGCCAAGAGUGCAGGCAGCCUGAGACCAGGCCAGAAUUUAAACUGCUGUCACAGAGGGGACCUAGACAGCUGAUUCAUCCUGGAAGAGCAAGAUAGCAACCAGACAAUGAGAAACUGCCAGAGCUUCAGCCCCUGUCCCUGCCUGCAGACCUGCCGUCUCUGCAAAAUGCCUCAUCUGUGGAUGCUACAAGCUUCUCAAGGAAUCUCAAGUCCUAGCUGUCCUAGAGGCUAACCAAGAAGUCAUCUCUCCAUUUCAGUCCUCAACAGCUCCUGCAGACCCAAGUAGCGGAGGGGACCCCGAACACUCUCCUCUCACAGAGUCCCUAAUCCUUUAUCUUUCCCCUCCCUACAAGGCAGCCAAACAUUCUAGAGCCCAGGAAAGCCCCAGUUCCAGGCUCUCCACAGUGCCCACCCAGCCCAGCCCUCCAGAAAGCCCCCAAAUUCCAGCCCCCACAAAGUCCAACUUUGAUAUUGUCCAGAUAGUCCAGCCUCUUGAUCCUUCCCCAGACCCUAGUUCUCCAGAGAAUCCCAGAGCCCAGCCUCGCAAAGUCCUGCUAGCAGAGCACACUCACCUCCAGUCACUGGAAGAAUUGGGAGGCCUGAAUUCCAUCACCCACCAGCAACCAGCAGGAGCCCCAGGCCAGGAGCCAGCCCAGAGUGGCUGAUCUUAAGUGCUUUGACGGUUAAGGAUCAAGGGUCGGGAGGAGACUCCUGUCCUUCAAUAAAGCCACAAGAGCCAGAAGCUGGUUUUUCCUGGUGAAUUUCUCUAAGGCCCUCUCUCUGGAGGGGAACACAACCUACCCACCUCUCACCCUCCAAGGGCAGCCUCUUUAACUGGAUUCUAGAAGGGAGUUCCAGGAAGCCCCCCAAUACCCUAGGAUCCUUACAACCUUGCAGUUCCUCUGCAUUUGUGUCUUCCGUCUUGGCUAAUGCCUCCAACAGCUCAAAACAAGCAAACUUUAUUAUACUUCACUAUUAAUUUUAUAUAAGUAUAUAAAAAGUUAACAGCCCUGCCCUCCCUUGUCCUCAGGAGCAGUCUUUGAAACAGCUUCUUCCAUGCUAUUCUUAAGAACUGGGUGGAUCUGACUGCCCAGAGAGGGCUCUACCUUUCCCCAAGGUCACACAGCCAUGAAGUGGGACAAAUUGAGGAGAGGGGAACUAGAUGGGCAGGCAGCCCCACACUUUCUUCUUGGAGUCCUGAGGGACCCAGGCCUCAAGUGCAUGGAGAA